RNAcentral lists this ribosomal RNA (1778 nucleotides) under Acetabularia kilneri. Its description in RNAcentral is "SSU rRNA". It matches the Rfam family "Eukaryotic small subunit ribosomal RNA". Lineage: Eukaryota; Viridiplantae; Chlorophyta; Ulvophyceae; Dasycladales; Polyphysaceae. The record is from RNAcentral.
ACCUGGUUGAUCCUGCCAGUAGUCAUACGCUUGACUUAAAGAUUAAGCCAUGCAUGUCUAAGUAUAACGGUUAUACGAGAAAACUGCGGACAGCUCAUUAAAUCAGUAAUUAUUUAUUUGAUGGUGGAAUUAUAUGGAUACCUGUAGGAAUUCUAGAGCUAAUACAUGCGUAAAUCCCGACUUUUGAAGGGAUGUACUUAUUAGUUUCAAGAUCGAUACACCUUUUCGGUGAUCCAUGAUAUUUACACRGAUCGCACGGUUUUAUGCCGGCGACGUUUCAAUCGAAUUUCUGCCCUAUCAAUUUACGAUGGUACGAUAGUGGCGUACCAUGAUUUUUACGGGUAACGGAGAAUUAGGGUUGUGRUUCCGGAGAGGGAGCCUGAGAGACAGCUACCACAUCCAAGGAAGGCAGCAGGCGCGAAAAUUACCCAAUGCAGAYGCUGUGAGGUAGUGACGAUUAAUAACAAUGCUGGGCUUUAUAAGUUUGGUAAUUGGAAUGAGAACAUUUUAARCAUCUUACCGAGGAUCUAUUGGAGGGCAAGUCUGGUGCCAGCAGCCGCGGUAAUUCCAGCUCCAAUAGCGUAUAUUUAAGUUGUUGCGGUUAAAAAGCUCGUAGUCGUAUUUCGGGCGCGCUCGUUGGUCCGUCCUUYGAGGAUGCGCAUCRGCGUGGYGCGCCUUGUUGUACGAGACRCGCUUCUGGGCUUGAUUGCUCGGRACGYGGGUCGUGCGAUGUCACUUUGAGUAAAUUAGAGUGUUUAAAGCAGGCGUGCGCUYUGCAUAUUUCAGCAUGGGAUGACACGAUAGGACCCUGGUCCGUGCGUCGGUCUGCGGUACCGGGGUAAUGAUCGAUAGAGGCGAUCGGGGGCGUUCCUAUUUCGUUGUCAGAGGUGAAAUUCUUGGAUUUACGAAAGAGGAUCAAAUACGAAAGCAUUCGCCAAGGGCGCUCUCGUUGAUCAAGAACGAAAGUUGGGGGAUCGAAGAUGAUUAGAUACCAUCCUAGUCUCAACCAUAAACUAUGCCACCUGGGGAUCGRCGGGUGUUUAUUAUUGACCUCGUCGGCACCCUGUGAGAAAUCAUUAGYGUAUGGGUUCCGGGGGUAGUAUGGUCGCAAGGCUGAAACUUAAAGGAAUAGACGGAAGGGCACCACCAGGCGUGGABCCUGCGGCUCAAUUUGACUCAACGCGGGAAAACUUACUAGGUUAGGACAUAGGAAGGAUUGACAGAUUGAUAGCUCUUUCUUGAUUGUAUGGGUGGUGGUGCAUGGCCAUUCUUAGUUCGUGGGUUAUCUUGUCCGGUUUACUCCGUUAACGAACGAGACCUCAGCCUGCUAAAUAGGUGCYUCCUCGAYUAGAGGUGUGYGCYUUCUUAGAGGGACUAUCGGUGCAAGUCGAUGGAAGUUUGAGGCAAUAAUAGGUCUGUGAUGCCCUUAGAUAUUCUAGGUCKCACGCGGGCUACACUGACGCACUCUACGAGUCCCCUCGGUCGAGAGACCCGGGUAAUCUGUGCACAUGCGUCGUGCUGGGGCUAGAAUAUUGGAAUUGUUAUUCUUUAACGAGGAAUGCCUAGUAAGUGUUCGGUCAACAGCCGGCGUUGAUUAUGUCCCUGCCCUUUGUACUCACCGCCCGUCGCUUGAUCCGACGUUGCAGUUGGUGAAAUGUUUGGAUCGGUUAAGUUUUACGAAAGUGUUGCUUGACCGAGAAGUUCUUUGAACCACCUGUUAUGGAGGAAGAAGAAGUCGUAACAAGGCCGUAGUAGAUGAAUCUGCCACGGGAUCAUUG